RNAcentral lists this ribosomal RNA (305 nucleotides) under uncultured bacterium. RNAcentral's name for it is "bacterial SSU rRNA". It matches the Rfam family "Bacterial small subunit ribosomal RNA", at positions 335 to 638 of the family's 1533-position model. The record is from RNAcentral.
CUUCCUACGGGGGGCAGCAGUGGGGGAUAUUGGACAAUGGGGGAAACCCUGAUCCAGCGAUGCCGCGUGAGGGAAGACGGUCCUAUGGAUUGUAAACCUCUUUUGCCGGGGAGCAAAAAGCGGUACGUGUACCGCAUCGAGAGUAUCCGGAGAAAAAGCAUCGGCUAACUCCGUGCCAGCAGCCGCGGUAAUACGGAGGAUGCGAGCGUUAUCCGGAUUUAUUGGGUUUAAAGGGUGCGCAGGCGGCGAGUUAAGUCAGCGGUAAAAUUUCGGGGCUCAACCCCGACGAGCCGUUGAAACUGGCU